AAAGAAGAGAGAGUAGAUGAGAUGGCUGAGCAUCAUGCCACAUAGGAGAUUCGUAAAGAGUCCCAAAUUCACGUCAGAGAUGAGCAAACAGAGCUAGAAGGACUCUACCUGCAUGUAUUCUAGGUCACACAGCCAUGGGGUGACAGAGCCCCAUCAUUUGAACACAGGUUCUAGGAUUCCUUAGUUUACAAGCUGAUGCCAAGGAUGACAUCAAAGUUUCCAAGGGUGUGAGAAGAAUGAUGCCACUCAGGAGGUGACCCAAAGGGAGGUGGCAGCCUGGAGAAUCCUGCAGGGUGAGCAAACAGAGCCAGAAGGACUCCAUCUGCCUCUGUUUUGGGUCACAGUCAUGGAGUGGCAGAGCGAUCAUUUGAACUUCAUGUUCAAAUGGUUUAUGGACUCCUAAGUUUACAAGCUGUUACCAAGGAUGACAUGAUCGUUUCCAAGGGUGUGAGAAGAA
This 457-nucleotide long non-coding RNA is filed under the name Monodelphis domestica (gray short-tailed opossum). Its description in RNAcentral is "lncRNA (ENSMODG00000036280.2)". Lineage: Eukaryota; Metazoa; Chordata; Mammalia; Didelphimorphia; Didelphidae. The record is from RNAcentral.